RNAcentral lists this ribosomal RNA (229 nucleotides) under uncultured bacterium. RNAcentral's name for it is "partial 16S ribosomal RNA". It matches the Rfam family "Bacterial small subunit ribosomal RNA", at positions 568 to 796 of the family's 1533-position model. The record is from RNAcentral.
UGCGUAGGUGGUUUUGUGUGUCGAAUGUGAAAUCCCACCGCUUAACGGUGGAAGGUCAUUCGAAACUACAGGACUAGAGUACAGGAGAGGAGAGCGGAAUUCUUGGAGUAGCGGUGAAAUGCGUUGAUAUCAAGAAGAACACCGGUGGCGAAGGCGGCUCUCUGGAAUGAUACUGACACUGAGGCACGAAAGCUGGGGGAGCAAACAGGAUUAGAUACCCUGGUAGUCC